CUCUUAGAUGUCCUGGGCUGCACGCGCGCUACACUGGAAGUUACGGAUUGAGAUACUACCUUGUCCGAAAUGGUCCGGGUAAUCACCUAAAAGCUUGUCAUAAUUGGAAUGGAUUAUUGUAACUAGUAAUCCUGAACGAGGAAUUCCUAGUAAGUCCCAGUCAACAGCUGGUACUGAUUACGUCCCUGCCCUUUGUACACACCGCCCGUCGCUACUACUGAUUGGACGUUUAAGCAAGAUUUUUAAACACUGACAGUGUGUAGUUCACGCUAUACUACAGUGAGAAGAAGAAGAUCGAGCUUACUUGUCUAGAGGAAGUAAAAGUCGUAACA
Molecule: ribosomal RNA, 332 nt
Filed under: uncultured eukaryote
Lineage: Eukaryota
Description: partial 18S ribosomal RNA
Rfam family: Eukaryotic small subunit ribosomal RNA
Source: RNAcentral